GGAGACAAAAUCUGAUUUAUUUAUCAAAGUAAACAGCCAACAAAAUCUAGUACAUUCGUCAACAAAUAUGACAUAGUACUUGAAUCCAUCCACAGAGACACAAGGUGCAGGCCCCCAUAGGUCACUAUGUACAACUUCAAAAGGUAUUACAGAUUUGGAAGUAGCUGGAUAGAAAGGAAGUUUACUAAAUUUGCCUUCUAGACAACUUUGACAAACUAUAGAAGACACAUCCUUAUUAACAGCAACAUUAGAUUUCCUAAGUGUAAGAGAAACAAUAGGAUUUGAGGGAUGACCUAGUCUGCAGUGCCACAAGUUUGAGGUGACAGUAUGUCCAAGACAGGCAACGGCUUGAUUUGCUUGUUUUUGAGGUAUAUGAGGUCUGGUAGUAAAGGAAGAAAUGGGAUACAAUCCAUUGUUGCAGAGUCCCUUAAACAAGAUUCUCCCUGUGGCUUUGUCCUGAAUCCA
RNAcentral lists this long non-coding RNA (465 nucleotides) under Malus domestica (apple). Its description in RNAcentral is "long non-coding RNA (MDOM_LNC018913)". The record is from RNAcentral. Lineage: Eukaryota; Viridiplantae; Streptophyta; Magnoliopsida; Rosales; Rosaceae.